This 201-nucleotide long non-coding RNA is filed under the name Panax ginseng (ginseng). Its description in RNAcentral is "long non-coding RNA (PGIN_LNC007626)". Lineage: Eukaryota; Viridiplantae; Streptophyta; Magnoliopsida; Apiales; Araliaceae. The record is from RNAcentral.
ACGCAUCGACGAAUCAUUUUAUCUGCACAUUGUUUGAAUAAAUACGGCUCAUCCCACAUGUACCACUUGACGUCAUAUAGGAACUUCUUCUUUUGUUGCCUUGUAAGAUUAGUGGGAAAGAUGUUGUUCACCAAAUAGUUGGAAAAAUCUACAUACCAUGGAAAUUUUACAUUGACUCCAAACAACUGCUUAUCCAAAAAC